GAGAUGUGGGUAGUCCGUACGAGCGCACCUUGUCCUUAUUUGCCAGCACGUAAUGGUGGGAACUCUAAGGAGACUGCCGGUGACAAACCGGCGGAAGGUGGGGACGACGUCAAGUCAUCAUGGCCCUUAUGACCAGGGCUACACACGUGCUACAAUGGAGCGUACAGAGGGUUGCUAAGCCGCGAGGUGGAGCCAAUCCCAGAAAACGUUUCGUAGUCCGGAUCGAAGUCUGCAACUCGACUUCGUGAAGUCGGAAUCGCUAGUAAUCGCGAAUCAGCAUGUCGCGGUGAAUACGUUCCCGGGCCUUGUACACACCGCCCGUCACACCAUGGGAGUGGGUUGCAAAAGAAGUGGCUAGUCUAACCUUCGGGAGGACGGUCACCACUUUGUGAUUCAUGACUGGGGUGAAGUCGUAACAAGGUAGCCCUAGGGGAACCUGGGGCUGGAUCACCUCCUU
This 457-nucleotide ribosomal RNA is filed under the name uncultured Gammaproteobacteria bacterium. Its description in RNAcentral is "bacterial SSU rRNA". It matches the Rfam family "Bacterial small subunit ribosomal RNA", at positions 1069 to 1532 of the family's 1533-position model. The record is from RNAcentral. Lineage: Bacteria; Pseudomonadati; Pseudomonadota; Gammaproteobacteria.